Molecule: ribosomal RNA, 430 nt
Filed under: uncultured bacterium
Lineage: Bacteria
Description: bacterial SSU rRNA
Rfam family: Bacterial small subunit ribosomal RNA
Source: RNAcentral
AGCCGGGUCUGAAGCGCAGCCUGAUCAGCCAUGCCGCGUGUGUGAAGAAGGCCUUAUGGUUGUAAAGCACUUUAAGCGAGGAGGAAGCUACUUUAGUUAAUACCUAGAGAUAGUGGACGUUACUCGCAAAAAAAGCACCGGCUAACUCUGUGCCAGCAGCCGCGGUAAUACAGAGGGUGCAAGCGUUAAUCGGAUUUACUGGGCGUAAAGCGCGCGUAGGCGGCUAAUUAAGUCAAAUGUGAAAUCCCCGAGCUUAACUUGGGAAUUGCAUUCGAUACUGGUUAGCUAGAGUGUGGGAGAGGAUGGUAGAAUUCCAGGUGUAGCGGUGAAAUGCGUAAAGAUCUGGAGGAAUACCGAUGGCAAAGGCAGCCAUCUGGCCUAACACUGACCCUAAGGUGCGAAAGGUGGGGGAGCAAACAGGAAAAACCCC